Labrus bergylta (ballan wrasse) is the source of this 643-nucleotide non-coding RNA. The record is from RefSeq and is a predicted model, not a curated record. NCBI's taxonomy places the organism in Eukaryota, Metazoa, Chordata, Actinopteri, Labriformes, Labridae.
CUCGUGUUAAAAAGAAGAGGAUGCGCAUGCGUGAGGAGAAGAAGCGGGAGAGUCAGAGUACCGGGAGCAGCAGGAAGAGGAGAAAGAGCCGUUUGUCUGAAUUUGUGGUCUCACAUGUUCAUUCAUCGAUGGAGGACGCCGCCUGUGACGAUGCUGACCUUCAGGGACACCGUAGAGAGAGUCAUCUUUCUUCUUCUGUCUGACUUGAAGUCGUCGGGGUCCGUACACCUGGACACAGGCUGAACCUCUCUGUGGACUCUGUGGACUCUGUGGACUCGUGAAAGCCUGCUGAAGGGUUUGGAAGACCCUGUCGGCCAUGUUUCUUAGCUUCUGUCCAGUCAAAGAAAAAAUCAGCUGUUGGUGUUUCCUGGCUGAACCUCUCUGUGGACUCUGUGGACUCUGUGGACUCGUGAAAGCCUGCUGAAGGGGUCUUCGAUGAACAUCUCAAAGUUAGAGAUGAUCCUGCUCUUCUUUGUCUUCUUCAGCUCGUGUUUUCUGUGGAUCACCAAAUUUCAUCGUGUCUCGCCUCAGGAUCGACCCCCCCCCCCCCCCCCAAUGAAAAUUAAAUCUAGUGAGAAUUAAAUAUUUAAUGAACAUUUGUACAGUUUGGAUCUUGGAACAAAAUAAAAAUGUUUCAAAAGUG